This 519-nucleotide ribosomal RNA is filed under the name uncultured bacterium. RNAcentral's name for it is "bacterial SSU rRNA". It matches the Rfam family "Bacterial small subunit ribosomal RNA", at positions 777 to 1296 of the family's 1533-position model. The record is from RNAcentral.
AAUAGAUACCCUGGUAGUCCUAGCUGUAAACGAUGUAUACUUGGUGUAACCGGAAUCAACCCUGGUUGUGCCGAAGCUAACGCGAUAAGUAUACCGCCUGAGGAGUACAGUCGCAGGGCUGAAACUCAAAAGAAUUGACGGGGACCCGCACAAGCAGUGGAGCAUGUGGUUUAAUUCGAUGCAACGCGAAGAACCUUACCCAGGCUUGACAUGCAGAGGAAGGCUCUAGAAAUAGAGAGUCCCGAAAGGGCUUCUGCACAGGUGCUGCAUGGCUGUCGUCAGCUCGUGCCGUGAGGUGUUUGGUUAAGUCCAGCAACGAGCGCAACCCUUAUCAUUAGUUGCCAGCACGUGAAGGUGGGAACUCUAAUGAGACUGCCUGGGUUAACCAGGAGGAAGGUGAGGAUGACGUCAAGUCCGCAUGGCCCUUAUGUCUGGGGCUACACACGUGCUACAAUGGCCGGUACAGAAGGCAGCGAAACCGCGAGGUGAAGCAAAUCCCUAAAGCCGGCCCCAGUUCAG